Molecule: ribosomal RNA, 465 nt
Filed under: Vreelandella stevensii
Lineage: Bacteria; Pseudomonadati; Pseudomonadota; Gammaproteobacteria; Oceanospirillales; Halomonadaceae
Description: partial 16S ribosomal RNA
Rfam family: Bacterial small subunit ribosomal RNA
Source: RNAcentral
CCUACGGGCGGCAGCAGUGGGGAAUAUUGGACAAUGGGCGAAAGCCUGAUCCAGCCAUGCCGCGUGUGUGAAGAAGGCCUUCGGGUUGUAAAGCACUUUCAGUGGGGAAGAAAGCCUUGGGGCUAAUACCCUCGAGGAAGGACAUCACCCACAGAAGAAGCACCGGCUAACUCCGUGCCAGCAGCCGCGGUAAUACGGGAGGGUGCGAGCGUUAAUCGGAAUUACUGGGCGUAAAGCGCGCGUAGGCGGUCUGAUAAGCCGGUUGUGAAAGCCCCGGGCUCAACCUGGGAACGGCAUCCGGAACUGUCAGGCUAGAGUGCAGGAGAGGAAGGUAGAAUUCCCGGUGUAGCGGUGAAAUGCGUAGAGAUCGGGAGGAAUACCAGUGGCGAAGGCGGCCUUCUGGACUGACACUGACGCUGAGGUGCGAAAGCGUGGGUAGCAAACAGGAUUAGAUACCCCAGUAGC